This 430-nucleotide ribosomal RNA is filed under the name uncultured soil bacterium. RNAcentral describes it as "bacterial SSU rRNA". It matches the Rfam family "Bacterial small subunit ribosomal RNA", at positions 966 to 1393 of the family's 1533-position model. The record is from RNAcentral.
GAACCUUACCAGCUCUUGACAUGCCCGGUAUGGGCGGGAGAGAUACCGUCCUUCGGUUCGGCCGGCCGGGACACAGGUGCUGCAUGGCUGUCGUCAGCUCGUGUCGUGAGAUGUUGGGUUGAGUCCCGCAACGAGCGCAACCCCCAUCUGCAGUUGCCAGCGGUUUGGCCGGGCACUCUGCAGAAACUGCCGGUGACAAGCCGGAGGAAGGCGGGGAUGACGUCAAGUCCUCAUGGCCCUUAUGGGCUGGGCUACACACGUGCUACAAUGGCGGUGACAGAGGGCGGCAACGGGGCGACCCGGCGCCAAUCUCAAAAAAGCCGUCUCAGUUCGGAUUGCUCUCUGCAACUCGAGAGCAUGAAGUCGGAAUCGCUAGUAAUCGCGGAUCAGCAUGCCGCGGUUAAUACGUUCCCGGGCCUUGUCACACCGA